RNAcentral lists this ribosomal RNA (468 nucleotides) under uncultured bacterium. RNAcentral describes it as "partial 16S ribosomal RNA". It matches the Rfam family "Bacterial small subunit ribosomal RNA", at positions 28 to 507 of the family's 1533-position model. The record is from RNAcentral.
GACGAACGCUGGCGGCGUGCUUAACACAUGCAAGUCGAACGGAAAGGCCCUGCUUUUGUGGGGUGCUCGAGUGGCGAACGGGUGAGUAACACGUGAGUAACCUGCCCUUGACUUUGGGAUAACUUCAGGAAACUGGGGCUAAUACCGGAUAGGAGAUCCUGCUGCAUGGUGGGGGAUGGAAAGAUUCGGCGGUUGGGGAUGGACUCGCGGCUUAUCAGCUUGUUGGUGGGGUAGUGGCUUACCAAGGCUUUGACGGGUAGCCGGCCUGAGAGGGUGACCGGCCACAUUGGUACUGAGAUACGGCCCAGACUCCUACCGUAGGCAGCAGUGGGGAAUAUUGCACAAUGGGCCGAAGCCUGAUGCAGCAACGCCGCGUGCGGGAUGACGGCCUUCGGGUUGUAAACCGCUUUCGCCUUUGACGAAGCGUUAUUGACGGUAAUGGGUAAAGAAGCACCGGCUAACUACGUG